RNAcentral lists this ribosomal RNA (440 nucleotides) under uncultured bacterium. RNAcentral's name for it is "partial 16S ribosomal RNA". It matches the Rfam family "Bacterial small subunit ribosomal RNA", at positions 339 to 795 of the family's 1533-position model. The record is from RNAcentral.
CUACGGGGGGCACCAGUGAGGAAUAUUGCACAAUGGGGGGAACCCUGAUGCAGCAACGCCGCGUGGAGGAUGACGCAUUUCGGUGUGUAAACUCCUUUUAUAUGUCAAGAAAAUGACGGUAGCAUAUGAAUAAGCACCGGCUAACUCCGUGCCAGCAGCCGCGUGUAAUACGGAGGGUGCAAGCGUUACUCGGAAUCACUGGGCGUAAAGGACGCGUAGGCGGGUUGGAAAGUCAGGUGUGAAAUCCUACAGCUUAACUGUAGAACUGCACUUGAAACUUCUAAUCUAGAGUAUGGGAGGGGGAGAUGGAAUUAGUGGUGUAGGGGUAAAAUCCGUAGAUAUCACUAGGAAUACCUAAAGCGAAGGCGAUCUCCUGGAACAUUACUGACGCUAAGGCGUGAAAGCGUGGGGAGCAAACAGGAUUAGAUACCCUGGUAGUC